GUGGGGAAUUUUGGACAAUGGGCGCAAGCCUGAUCCAGCAAUGCCGCGUGCAGGAUGAAGGCCUUCGGGUUGUAAACUGCUUUUGUACGGAACGAAACGGCGAACUCUAAUACAGUUUGCUAAUGACGGUACCGUAAGAAUAAGCACCGGCUAACUACGUGCCAGCAGCCGCGGUAAUACGUAGGGUGCGAGCGUUAAUCGGAAUUACUGGGCGUAAAGCGUGCGCAGGCGGUUUUGUAAGACAGAUGUGAAAUCCCCGGGCUCAACCUGGGACCUGCAUUUGUGACUGCAAGGCUGGAGUACGGCAGAGGGGGAUGGAAUUCCGCGUGUAGCAGUGAAAUGCGUAGAUAUGCGGAGGAACACCGAUGGCGAAGGCAAUCCCCUGGGCCUGUACUGACGCUCAUGCACGAAAGCGUGGGGAGCAAACAGGAUUAGAAACCCGAGUAGUCC
Molecule: ribosomal RNA, 450 nt
Filed under: uncultured bacterium
Lineage: Bacteria
Description: bacterial SSU rRNA
Rfam family: Bacterial small subunit ribosomal RNA
Source: RNAcentral